RNAcentral lists this ribosomal RNA (173 nucleotides) under uncultured bacterium. RNAcentral describes it as "partial 16S ribosomal RNA". It matches the Rfam family "Bacterial small subunit ribosomal RNA", at positions 356 to 525 of the family's 1533-position model. The record is from RNAcentral.
UGGGGAUUUGGCAUGGGCGAAGCCUGAUCCAGCCUGCCGCGUGUGUGAAGAAGGUCUUCGGAUUGUAAAGCACUUUAAGUUGGGAGGAAGGGCAUUAACCUAAUACGUUGGUGUCUUGACGUUACCGACAGAAUAAGCACCGGCUAACUCUGUGCCAGCAGCCGNCGGUAAUA